AACGUUUCUAAUGUGUAAACAUCUUCCGAAAGCACAGGUGUCGAUUCGGGCCCCUUGCUGCCACAAGUGGUUCGAUUGUGCCGAAUGCCAUCGGGCUACUCAGGACCACGACCUGUUGAAGGUUUUUGAGAUCACAUUCGCGUGCAAGCGGUGCAAAAAGGUGUUUCGAAAAGACUUGAGAGAAUUCGAAGAGCAAGACGAGUAUUGUCCCUGGUGUGACAACCACUUCGCGAUUCCUCAAGAGAGGGCGAUGCCCAAAAUCGCCGUUUCUCUGGAGGGAACGGGACAGAUGGUUCGAGACGAGAGAGAGAGGGCGAGGCACAUCGACUCGAUUGAACGCAUGGGCGAAGGGCUGUUGUGACGUUGGAAGGUGUGGUCGAAUUUCGUAGCGAUAGGAUGUCAGACGGUUGUUCUGGUUUUACGCGUUUCGCUCGAUGCCUCGCGCGGUGUCAGAGCCGCCGCCCUUUUUUUUUUUGAAAUAAAUGCCGUUGAUAUUGAAGAAAGCGGCGAGAUCGGGUUCACUUGAAACCUGAGCAGA
Schistocerca gregaria is the source of this 538-nucleotide long non-coding RNA. RefSeq lists it as uncharacterized. NCBI's taxonomy places the organism in Eukaryota, Metazoa, Arthropoda, Insecta, Orthoptera, Acrididae. The record is from RefSeq and is a predicted model, not a curated record. The transcript is spliced from 4 exons.